Long non-coding RNA from Herpailurus yagouaroundi (jaguarundi), 493 nucleotides. RefSeq lists it as uncharacterized. The record is from RefSeq and is a predicted model, not a curated record. The transcript is spliced from 2 exons. Lineage: Eukaryota; Metazoa; Chordata; Mammalia; Carnivora; Felidae.
UUUUAGGGCCAACCUUUCCUUCCUUUCAUGUGGUAAAGAAGCCCCCUUUGAGGGCUGCGCUGUGUAAGCCUCUUAAUUGCAGGGCUAAUAUGAACCAGAGCAGAAUGAUCCAUCCAAGAAUCUUUGUUUGGAUUCGUGACCGUUUUCAAAGGGGACUCGGGGUCCCUCCCUUAUCUGGUCUCCUAUCAGCUGAAUGACGACCCGGAGUCAGGAAGCGUCCAGCUGCCCCUGGCACUGCAUCUGAGGAGGCAUUUUGCACCUGUCUCUGGAGGACGCCCCAGCCCCUGCCGUCCUGGCCCAUGGCACACUCCAUGGCAUUCUGCCCUCACCUUUGUGCAAGAGCUUUUUCCUGGAGAGUAGCCUGCAAACGUUCUAAGGCUGCCAUUUCCUCCAAGAUACACCCUAGUGGCUUCUUUGUUCCUUGAUGUACAGCAGAAGAUAGGUUUAAGUGAUGUUUGGAGAAUUUGGUAAUUAAAAGAAUAUGUUAUGCGGA